AUAAAGCUAGAUUCACCAAAG
This 21-nucleotide microRNA is filed under the name Tribolium castaneum (red flour beetle). RNAcentral's name for it is "tca-miR-9d-3p". Its record names the gene tca-miR-9d-3p. Lineage: Eukaryota; Metazoa; Arthropoda; Insecta; Coleoptera; Tenebrionidae. The record is from miRBase by way of RNAcentral.